GGCUGGAGCUCAGAUGCGUUGCUGUGACAGAGCCUGUGCCCGAGACCCUCCGUGACUGCUGUCUGCCAGGCAACACAUUUUGUGCUGCACAGCGGAGAGUCAAACCAGGCACUGUGCUUGUCACUCUGGAUAAAGCCUUUCAGUGACAACCCAACUGAUACAGGACUAAGCAGAGUAAAAUAUCUGAUAAUGAGUGCUUGCUGAACCAAUUUACACUCUCAAUAACCAGAGAAGACCCCAAAUAGCCAAAGCAAACUUGAGAAAGGAGAACAAAGCUGGAGGUAUCACAAUCCCAGAUUUCAAGAUACGCUACAAAGCUGAGUAAUCAAAACAGUUUUCGGUCACAUGAAGCAAAUAUGGAAUUUAAUGAGCUCUACACAUAGAGGGAGACAAGAGCAGCCCCCCAAGGUGUCAGCUUUUAAAUGAUGUAGUGCAUCUAGGGAGUAAAUUGAUAACAGUCUAGAACCCCUUUGGCAUUAUGUAGCCUGUGGACAUUAAAGAGGUCACAAUAGUGUGACUUUUUAUAUUACUAUUUACGUAUGCAUGCAUGAAUGCCCACUGUGUGCUUGGAAUUUAUGUACAUAAUCACAUUUAAUCCUCACAGCCACCCUGUGGGGAAGAAGUAUUACCCCUAUCUUGCAAUGAGAAACGUGAGAAGCACAUGAGUGAAGUGCAAAAGUCAGAGCUGGGAUUUGUGCCUCCAAUUACUUACCCUCAAGGAGCAAUCAGCUUUGCAGACACUCCCAUCUCCUGCUCUUCCCAGACACUGUAUUCUCUUCCUACUUUCCUGGUUGAUCCCCCUGUAGUUCUUUUUCUUUAGUUGUCUUUUAAACGCAGGUUGUUAUGGGUUGAAUUGUAUCUUCCUCCAAAAUUCUCUGUUGAAUGUCUAACCCUCAGUACCUCAGAAUGUGGCCUUACUUGGAGAUCGGGCCUUUACAGAGAUAAGCAAGUUAAAGUGAGGGCAUAAUGUAGGCCCUAAUUCAAUAGGACUGAAUUUGGUGUCAUAGAAGAAAUGUGAACACAGACACACACAGGGAGAGCGUCAACGUGACAUAAAGAUGAAGGCAGAGAUCCGGGUGACGCUUCUACAAGCCAAGGAAAUCGCCGCAGAGGCAAGGAGAGAGGCCUGGAACAGACUGUCACUCGUGACCCUCAGAAGUAACCAACUCUGUUGAUACCUUGCUCCUGGACCUCUGGCCUCCAGAGGAGUGAGAUAAUAAA
Long non-coding RNA from Mirounga angustirostris (Northern elephant seal), 1221 nucleotides. RefSeq lists it as uncharacterized. Lineage: Eukaryota; Metazoa; Chordata; Mammalia; Carnivora; Phocidae. The transcript is spliced from 4 exons. The record is from RefSeq and is a predicted model, not a curated record.